This 464-nucleotide ribosomal RNA is filed under the name uncultured Pseudomonadota bacterium. RNAcentral describes it as "bacterial SSU rRNA". It matches the Rfam family "Bacterial small subunit ribosomal RNA", at positions 36 to 538 of the family's 1533-position model. The record is from RNAcentral. Lineage: Bacteria; Pseudomonadati; Pseudomonadota.
CGAACGCUGGCGGCAGGCUUAACACAUGCGAGUCGAACGCCCGGGCAACCGGGAGUGGCAGACGGGUGAGUAACGCGUGGGAACGUACCCUUUGGUUUGGAAUAACCCAGGGAAACUUGGGCUAAUACCGGAUAAGCCCCGAGAGGGGGAAAGAUUUAUCGCCGAAGGAUCGGCCCGCGUCCGAUUAGCUAGUUGGUGUGGUAAUGGCGCACCAAGGCGACGAUCGGUAGCUGGUCUGAGAGGAUGAUCAGCCACACUGGGACUGAGACACGGCCCAGACUCCUACGGGAGGCAGCAGUGGGGAAUAUUGGACAAUGGGGGCAACCCUGAUCCAGCCAUGCCGCGUGAGUGAUGAAGGCCUUAGGGUUGUAAAGCUCUUUCGGCGGGGACGAUAAUGACGGUACCCGCAGAAGAAGCCCCGGCUAACUUCGUGCCAGCAGCCGCUGUAAUCUGAUGGCGCGAGG